Pelobates cultripes (western spadefoot toad) is the source of this 93-nucleotide non-coding RNA. The record is from the annotation of a GenBank genome assembly. Lineage: Eukaryota; Metazoa; Chordata; Amphibia; Anura; Pelobatidae.
GCAACAAGGAAGUGGAGACAAUGUUUUGCCUCCUCUCUGAGCCUUUAUCAAGUCUAAGAGAGGAGCCGAAACAUUGUCUCCACUUCCUUGUUU